GUCCAGGGUCACCCUCCCCUUGUUUGCCUCUUGGUCGAAACUCUUCUCUCCUGGAGAGUGACCUGCCCAAAGACACCAGGCCCAGGCCCAGAGGAGAGAGCCUGUGGGCGAGCCGGCUCCCACGACUCCCAUCGCACUCGGUCUACUUCCUCGGAAACCUUUUUUGACACAAAAAUAUUUUAAAAUUUUUGUACAAAAGUAUGAAAAUGAAAAAUGCGUAACUGUCAGCUCAUCUUUGUUAAAAGAUUUCGACUUUUCUGAACAUCUUGUAUUUGUAUAAAUCCAGACUUUGCCGUGAUCUUCUAGAAUACAAACAUCUGAAGUUGCUUUUUUCCUUCAAGAAGACUUUCUCUGUUUUCUUCUUUAGAACCUUUUAGAAAUCGGUACUCUGUUAACAUCUUCAUAAUGUCCUUCUCCUGUGAAGGCCUGAAAUGCCACCCUCCAGUGUCACAGUAUCUAGUCAGGUUAUUCUCAGCGUAGGAGAACCCCUGUCUGUGGCUGAGUCCCUUUCUAUGGUGCUGGCAGAGGCAGCUAGUGCCCAGGUGGUUACUGAAAGUAGAUGUGGCUCAGAUCUGACAUUGCUGUGGCUGUGGUGUAGGCUGGCAGCUACAACUCCAAUUCAACCUCUAGCCUGGAAACUUUCAUAUGCCGUGCAUAUGGCCCUAAAAAGAUGAACAAAACAAAACAAAACAAUUCAGUUUUAUUGAAUUGCUUCUGCAAAUGAUAGUGGGGGAAGGGGAGAGAUUGCUAAUGAAUACUUUUCCUUUGUUUUUUUUAAGACUUUUUGGGGUAAUGACCAACUGUAUUUUCAGCUAGUCAGCCUGUCAUGUGGGUGUGGAAUGCACCUGCAGGUGUGAGGAGAAUUAGGGGGGUGAGUCCAUUGGAACAGUCCCCAGCGAGAUGCCCUACACCAGGUUUUCUGUGGGCACCUGUAGGAAUGGGCAGCUCUCUCUCCCUGAGGCCACUGGGCACUGCCAGUAAGUGCCACCAGCCACUUAGGAAGAAAUCAUGUGUGAUAUUUAUGAUGGACGUAUGAGCGCUAGGUAUAACUCCUGGUUUGCCUUUCACAGGUCGGGUGACCGUCUGCAGAUCCUAGCCAUUGGAAAGGUGAGCGUUAUAACUCACAGGGUCAUUCUGGCCAGCCCACGGUGCCUGGUUGGCAUGUAGAGAGUGUAUUAUUUCUGUUCUCUUCUGGGGGCCUCUGGAAAGCAGACCGAGGUUUAAAAAGAUGUUGUCAAAAUUCUUUCCUUUGAAAUCAAUCUGUGUUGACUCAUAAUUUGAGUACUCCUUUAGUACAGUUAUUAAAUAUAGUUACAUAAUUAGCUCACACACAUGCCUAUUUAACCUGUGAGGGCAGAAUUUUGAUUAUGUAGGUCCCAUGGCUUAAGAAAAUGGGGUUUUCUCUUCAACUUGUCUUUAAACUAGAUCUCAAAUUAGCGGACAUUGAUUUCAGAAUUCAGCCUUUAGGAUUCCUCAGAAGUUUUUCUUGCCUUUCAUUUGUCGCUCCCUUAACAUCUCCCCUGCUUUUUUUCAUUUGCUCUUUUCAUGUUGUCAGGGUUUUUUGUUUGUUUUUACGUUUUCUCUCCUGAAACUUUGCACUCAGAGAUAGGAGUAAAGGCCUAUUUUGAGGCAGUAGGAUGGACAGUGUGCUUUCUUUCAUCUCAGUGUAUUAUUGUUUUGCUAACAUGCCUUUUUGCUCUGAAGAUAUAAAUUCACAACUGGAGAAAGAAUCCCAAACUUCAUAAUAACUCUGUAGUUUCCUGAGUGCUUAUUGUGUGCCAAGUACAGGGCAUUUUAGUACAUUAGCUGAUGUCUUCUCAUCCAUAGUGAAGAGACGAAGGCGCCUGGGAGAGUCAGGCCUGGCUGCUUGCUGUGACCGUGCUCCUGACCUGUUCUCUUGUUCCCCCUUGUUCAGUCCCAGGGACAGGGUGGUUUUUAUUAUCUUUAAAGACCUAAGAGAUCUUGGGGCCCUGACUUUGAUGGAUGGCAUUUGGCCUAUUUUAAUUACAAAAACUUAUCAAAUGUUAACAUAAAUUACCUGUGUCUAGUGGGUUCAUAGCCCCAAAUAGUGUCGUUUGGGGUCUUAAAGUGUGUUGAACUGAUUUUGAUGUGUUUAUAAGAGACAUUAUCACUGUUUGAAAAACCCGAUAGUGCUCUUUCCUCCCUGAUUUCUAAUUCUGGCAUCUAGAAUGCAGCUGAGACAAGAGCACGUCUGUGAGACAAACAGAGAUCUCAUGAGAGCUCAUGGAUUAACUUUUUUCCACCACAGCAGCAGGUUUUUCUUAAAGCGUUGUUUGAAAAUUAACAUUACUGAAAAUUUAAGCUUACCUAAAGGGAUUCUAGUUUUGAUCUCAAUUAUAAAAAGUAGGAAGACAUUUCAUAAAAAUCUGUGUCCCCUUAGCACUAGAAUGCUUUGGCUGUGAGUGGGAUAAGCUAGAAGUAAGCUGCCUUUGAUAGACGUGAGCAGUGUGUGAUAACUGUCUCUAUCUAUUCAACUACUUCCUGUUCAAUCUCACAUCGCAGCUGGAAAGCAAUUUCCUCACUUGACCCAUUUUUCUUCUGUAUUGUGUCUUUCUUCUGGUUCUUUAACAAAUAGUUUGAAGGAAUGGAGUGUCGUAAAGCCUUACACACUUGUAAGGUGAGGCAAUUCAGGCACCUGCUUUGGAAUAAGCAUACUCUCUUGUGUUUCAUUAUUUGGCUCCCUGGUUGGGCGGAUAACAGUUUUGCUCCUUUACUUUCAUGUCACUGUUUUCAGAAGAGAGAGAUUUUAAAGCUUGAAAAUGGUAGGCAUUUGAGUAAAGACAAAAACAGGUGUAUGGGGGUAAGGAUCUUGUUUUAGUAACAUGGACAAUUUAUGAAUGUUAUAAUUUUAGUAAGCAUAUAUGCAGUAAGUCUAGCAUUAAUAGAUCCACAUUGUAAAAUGCCUGUUUAUCCAAAGACGGAGGUCUCUUGGUAUCAUUGGCUUGUUACUGUUAAUGCCACCCUUAGUCACAGGUAUGACGUUAUCAUGUGAUAACUUUUGUCCCACACCCAUGGCUUAUAGAGUGCUUGGGUUGCCUUCUCUUUUUGCCAGAUCAAAUUCUAAAUGUCCUAACACACCGAACAUAACGCCAGUCUCCUUCUUGAAACCAUCUCUGACUUUACGUGUAUAAGCUCUCUCUUUUCUGUUUCUGCUCACACCUUUGGUGACCUCACUUAGCCCUGUGACUUUAAAUUUACCACACAUACCCUGAAGACUCCUAGGUUUUUGCUUGUUUUGUGAGGGGGUUUUUUGGCCAGCCUGGACUGCAUAGAUAUUUGCAUAUCUAGUUGCCUUCUCACCACCUGCACAGGACUGUUUAGUGAGCAUUUCCAGCCCACAGGGCCAGACCUGGCCCUGCUCUUGCCCCAGGACCACUCUGCCUGCACUCCUCUCUGUCUUCCUCGAGAGCGCUUACCCCCUUCUGGUCGCUCCAGUCUAAACCCUAGAGUCUUCCUUGGCUCCCUCUUUCUUUCCAUGUACAGUACAUAAGAAACUAAGAGAUUUCUAAGUGAUCCAUGGGUCAAAGAAGAGAAAUACUUGGAACUAAAUUUAAAAAACCAAAUACAACAUAUCAGAAAUCAUAUGAUGCUGCUAAGCUGUGCUAAGAGGGAAAUUUAUGGCAUUAAAUGUCUCUAUUGGAAAAGGAGAACAAUCUCAGAUCAGUAAUUUAAGCGUUUAUCUUAUUCCAAAAAGUGAAGAACAAACUAAACCCAAUAGCAAGUAAAAAGAAGGAGAUAAAGGUUAGAGUGGAAGUCGGUGACGUAGAAACAGAAAGCAGUAGAAAGGAUCAAUAGAACCAAAAUUAAUUGGUUAAUUGAAAAUUAAUUUCAGCCGGUUAAUUGAAGAUAUCAGCAAAAUUGACAAACCUGUAGCUAGAUUGACCAAGAAAAAGAGAGAAGAUACAAGGUACCAAAAUCAAGAAUGAAGAGGGGCGUUGAGUAUUGAUCUUACAGAAAUUAAGUUGAUAGUCUGAAUAACUUUGUACCAACAAGUUAGAUAGCUUAUAUGAAAUGGACAAAAUUCUAGAAAUAGGCAAAUUGCCAAAACUGACUCAAGAAAAAUGAAAAGUCUGAAUAGACAUAUAAUGAGUAAAGAAAUUGAAUUGAUAAUUAACAAUUUUGCCACAAAGAAAAGCCCAAGUUAUUUUGGCUUCAGUGGUAAAUUCUGUCAGACAUAUAAAGAACUAAUACC
This 4213-nucleotide long non-coding RNA is filed under the name Sus scrofa (pig). RNAcentral's name for it is "lncRNA (ENSSSCG00015039351.1)". Lineage: Eukaryota; Metazoa; Chordata; Mammalia; Artiodactyla; Suidae. The record is from RNAcentral.